GUUCCCGUACGAUUACCGAAGUUAAGCAACGUCGAUCCUGGUCAGUACCGAGAUUGGUAACCGCUUGGGAAUACCAGGUGCUGUAAG
Acanthosepion pharaonis is the source of this 87-nucleotide non-coding RNA. The record is from the annotation of a GenBank genome assembly. Lineage: Eukaryota; Metazoa; Mollusca; Cephalopoda; Sepiida; Sepiidae.